This 712-nucleotide ribosomal RNA is filed under the name uncultured bacterium. Its description in RNAcentral is "bacterial SSU rRNA". It matches the Rfam family "Bacterial small subunit ribosomal RNA", at positions 72 to 776 of the family's 1533-position model. The record is from RNAcentral.
GUAAGAGCUUGCUCUUAUGGGUGGCGAGUGGCGGACGGGUGAGGAAUACAUCGGAAUCUACUCUUUCGUGGGGGAUAACGUAGGGAAACUUACGCUAAUACCGCAUACGACCUACGGGUGAAAGCAGGGGACCUUCGGGCCUUGCGCGAUUGAAUGAGCCGAUGUCGGAUUAGCUAGUUGGCGGGGUAAAGGCCCACCAAGGCGACGAUCCGUAGCUGGUCUGAGAGGAUGAUCAGCCACACUGGAACUGAGACACGGUCCAGACUCCUACGGGAGGCAGCAGUGGGGAAUAUUGGACAAUGGGCGCAAGCCUGAUCCAGCCAUACCGCGUGGGUGAAGAAGGCCUUCGGGUUGUAAAGCCCUUUUGUUGGGAAAGAAAUCCAGCCGGCUAAUACCUGGUUGGGAUGACGGUACCCAAAGAAUAAGCACCGGCUAACUUCGUGCCAGCAGCCGCGGUAAUACGAAGGGUGCAAGCGUUACUCGGAAUUACUGGGCGUAAAGCGUGCGUAGGUGGUCGUUUAAGUCUGUUGUGAAAGCCCUGGGCUCAACCUGGGAACUGCAGUGGAAACUGGACGACUAGAGUGUGGUAGAGGGUAGCGGAAUUCCUGGUGUAGCAGUGAAAUGCGUAGAGAUCAGGAGGAACAUCCAUGGCGAAGGCAGCUACCUGGACCAACACUGACACUGAGGCACGAAAGCGUGGGGAGCAAACAGG